This 509-nucleotide ribosomal RNA is filed under the name Sphenorhina parambae. Its description in RNAcentral is "partial 16S ribosomal RNA". The stretch from base 382 to 509 matches the Rfam family "Bacterial large subunit ribosomal RNA", at positions 2473 to 2600 of the family's 2925-position model. Lineage: Eukaryota; Metazoa; Arthropoda; Insecta; Hemiptera; Cercopidae. The record is from RNAcentral.
GGUUUUUAGUUUUUAUUAAAAAUUUAAUCUGCCCAAUGAAUUUUAAUUUUAAUGGCCGCAGUAAUUUGACUGUGCAAAGGUAGCGUAGUAAUUAGGUUUUUAAUUGGAGUCUUGAAUGAAUGAUUGGAUGAAAAAAUAACUUUCUUUGAUUUUUUUGUUUGAAUUUAAUUUUUAAGUGAGAAAGCUUAAAUGUUUCUAUGGGACGAUAAGACCCUAUAGAACUUGAAAUUUAUUAUAUUUUGUGAUUGUUAUAUAGUUAUUAUUUAUUUUAAAUUUUUAAUUGGGGUGAUUAUUAAAUUUUUAAACUUUAGUUUUUUAUAUCAUUAAUUUAUGUUUUAUUUUGAUCUUUUAUUAUUGAUUUUAAGUUAGAGUUACCUUAGGGAUAACAGCGUAAUUAUGUUGAAGAGUUCUUAUUAAUAACGUAUUUUGCGACCUCGAUGUUGGAUUAAGAUUAGAUUAGGGUGCAGAUUUUUUAAUGUCUAGGUCUGUUCGACCUUUUAAUUCUUACA